Gordionus sp. m RMFG-2023 is the source of this 121-nucleotide long non-coding RNA. RefSeq lists it as uncharacterized. The transcript is spliced from 3 exons. NCBI's taxonomy places the organism in Eukaryota, Metazoa, Nematomorpha, Gordioida, Chordodea, Parachordodidae. The record is from RefSeq and is a predicted model, not a curated record.
AUUUCCCGAUGUCCUCACUAUGUCAUGUCAUCAAUGAGCCAAUAACUUCAGUUAACCAUGCAACUGUACUGUAGGAUGAUAAACUAUGCAAGAUCAUAUUACCACUAUCACUCAAGAAGCU